CGCCCUUAGAGUUUGAUCCUGGCUCAGGAUGAACGCUAGCUACAGGCUUAACACAUGCAAGUCGAGGGGAAACGACAUCGAAAGCUUGCUUUUGAUGGGCGUCGACCGGCGCACGGGUGAGUAACGCGUAUCCAACCUGCCCACCACUUGGGGAUAACCUUGCGAAAGUAAGACUAAUACCCAAUGAUAUCUCUAGAAGACAUCUGAAAGGGAUUAAAGAUUUAUCGGUGAUGGAUGGGGAUGCGUCUGAUUAGCUUGUUGGCGGGGUAGCGGCCCACCAAGGCGACGAUCAGUAGGGGUUCUGAGAGGAAGGUCCCCCACAUUGGAACUGAGACACGGUCCAAACUCCUACGGGAGGCAGCAGUGAGGAAUAUUGGUCAAUGGACGAGAGUCUGAACCAGCCAAGUAGCGUGCAGGAUGACGGCCCUAUGGGUUGUAAACUGCUUUUAUAAGGGAAUAAAGUGAGUCUCGUGAGACUUUUUGCAUGUACCUUAUGAAUAAGGACCGGCUAAUUCCGUGCCAGCAGCCGCGGUAAUACGGAAGGUCCGGGCGUUAUCCGGAUUUAUUGGGUUUAAAGGGAGCGUAGGCCGGAGAUUAAGCGUGUUGUGAAAUGUAGGCGCUCAACGUCUGCACUGCAGCGCGAACUGGUUUCCUUGAGUACGCACAAAGUGGGCGGAAUUCGUGGUGUAGCGGUGAAAUGCUUAGAUAUCACGAAGAACUCCGAUUGCGAAGGCAGCUCACUGGAGCGCAACUGACACUGAAGCUCGAAAGUGCGGGUAUCGAACAGGAUUAGAUACCCUGGUAGUCCGCACGGUAAACGAUGGAUGCCCGCUGUUGGUCUGAAUAGGUCAGCGGCCAAGCGAAAGCAUUAAGCAUCCCACCUGGGGAGUACGCCGGCAACGGUGAAACUCAAAGGAAUUGACGGAAGGGCG
Molecule: ribosomal RNA, 932 nt
Filed under: uncultured bacterium
Lineage: Bacteria
Description: bacterial SSU rRNA
Rfam family: Bacterial small subunit ribosomal RNA
Source: RNAcentral